RNAcentral lists this ribosomal RNA (497 nucleotides) under uncultured bacterium. RNAcentral describes it as "partial 16S ribosomal RNA". It matches the Rfam family "Bacterial small subunit ribosomal RNA", at positions 28 to 507 of the family's 1533-position model. The record is from RNAcentral.
GAUGAACGCUGGCGGCGUGCCUAAUACAUGCAAGUCGAGCGAACAGACGAGGAGCUUGCUCCUCUGACGUUAGCGGAGGACGGGUGAGUCACACGUGGAUAACCUACCUAUAAGACUGGGAUAACUUCGGGAAACCGGAGCUAAUACCGGAUAAUAUAUUGAACCGCAUGGUUCAAUAGUGAAAGACGGUUUUGCUGUCACUUAUAGCUGGUUCCCCGCCGCCUUAGCUAGUUGGUAAGGUCACGGCUUACCAAGGGAACGAUGCGUAGCCGACGUGAGAGGGUGGUCGCCCACACUGGAACUGAGACACGGUCCAGACUCCUACGGGAGGCAGCAGUAGGGAAUCUUCCGCAAUGGGCGAAAGCCUGACGGAGCAGCGCCGCGUGAGUGAUGAAAGUCUUCGGAUCGUAAAACUCUGUUAUUAGGGAAGAACAAAUGUGUAAGUAACUAUGCACGUCUUGACGGUACCUAAUCAGAAAGCCACGGCUAACUACGUG